GAUGAAGAACGUAGCGAAAUGCGAUACGUAGUGUGAAUUGCAGAAUUCCGUGAACCAUCAAAUCUUUGAACGCAUAUUGCGCUCGAGGCUUCGGCCGAGAGCAUGUCUGCCUCAGCGUCGGUAUUACCCCUCGCUUCUCAACCCCUGGUUGAUGCCUGCCUGCCUUUGCAGUUGGCUAGAAGCGGAUCUGGCUUUCCCAAUUGCCUUUGGUAGUUGGGUCAGCUGAAGCACAGAGGCUUGAGCAAGGACCCUUAUUGGGCUUAAACUGGAUAGGUAGAACUGGUCUUAGGACCAACUACACGAAGUUGUUGCUUGUGGUCUUUGUCUGGAGGCCAGCAGGAAACCUUUAUACCUUCGACCUGAGCUCAGGCAAGAUUACCCGCUGAACUUAAGCAUAUCAAUAAGCGGAGGA
This 412-nucleotide unclassified non-coding RNA is filed under the name soil metagenome. RNAcentral's name for it is "partial contains 5.8S ribosomal RNA, internal transcribed spacer 2, and large subunit ribosomal RNA". The stretch from base 1 to 120 matches the Rfam family "5.8S ribosomal RNA", at positions 35 to 154 of the family's 154-position model. The record is from RNAcentral.